RNAcentral lists this small nuclear RNA (301 nucleotides) under Ovis aries (sheep). RNAcentral describes it as "7SK RNA". It matches the Rfam family "7SK RNA". From Rfam's summary of the family: 7SK was discovered as an abundant small nuclear RNA in the mid-70s but a possible function has only recently been suggested. Two independent studies have found that 7SK RNA binds the CDK9/cyclin T complex (known as elongation factor P-TEFb). Lineage: Eukaryota; Metazoa; Chordata; Mammalia; Artiodactyla; Bovidae. The record is from Rfam by way of RNAcentral.
GGACGUGAGGACUGUCUGGCGGGGAGACCGUCGCCCCGCUGAUCCCCAGGACUGGUUCAGCUGACUGGGCUGAUCCAGCAGGCGUCCCCUUCCCACCCACCCGCCCCCCGCGCUGCCUGCGCACCCCUCCGGGAGCUGUGCGCUCAGCCGAGGAGGACGGACGACAGGGGAGGACUGGUCUUUGGUCAAGGGUGCACGAGUAGCUGUGCUCGCCUCUAGAGCCUCCAGACAAGCUCGCAAAGGCCCCGAGCCAAAGCGGCUCUUGUCCUGCAGGUGAGGAGCAGGGGCGAUGCUUCACCAU